RNAcentral lists this ribosomal RNA (1378 nucleotides) under Brenneria salicis. Its description in RNAcentral is "bacterial SSU rRNA". It matches the Rfam family "Bacterial small subunit ribosomal RNA", at positions 66 to 1434 of the family's 1533-position model. Lineage: Bacteria; Pseudomonadati; Pseudomonadota; Gammaproteobacteria; Enterobacterales; Pectobacteriaceae. The record is from RNAcentral.
GCGGUAACACAGAGGAGCUUGCUCCUUGGGUGACGAGCGGCGGACGGGUGAGUAAAGUCUGGGGAUCUGCCUGAUGGAGGGGGAUAACUACUGGAAACGGUAGCUAAUACCGCAUGACGUCUUCGGACCAAAGUGGGGGACCUUCGGGCCUCACGCCAUGAGAUGAACCCAGAUGGGAUUAGCUGGUAGGUGAGGUAACGGCUCACCUAGGCGACGAUCCCUAGCUGGUCUGAGAGGAUGACCAGCCACACUGGAACUGAGACACGGUCCAGACUCCUACGGGAGGCAGCAGUGGGGAAUAUUGCACAAUGGGGGAAACCCUGAUGCAGCCAUGCCGCGUGUGUGAAGAAGGCCUUCGGGUUGUAAAGCACUUUCAGCGGGGAGGAAGGCAAUAAACUUAAUAAGUUUGUUGAUUGACGUUACCCGCAGAAGAAGCACCGGCUAACUCCGUGCCAGCAGCCGCGGUAAUACGGAGGGUGCAAGCGUUAAUCGGAAUGACUGGGCGUAAAGCGCACGCAGGCGGUCUGUUAAGUUGGAUGUGAAAUCCCCGGGCUCAACCCGGGAACAGCAUUCAAAACUGACAGGCUAGAGUCUCGUAGAGGGGGGUAGAAUUCCAGGUGUAGCGGUGAAAUGCGUAGAGAUCUGGAGGAAUACCGGUGGCGAAGGCGGCCCCCUGGACGAAGACUGACGCUCAGGUGCGAAAGCGUGGGGAGCAAACAGGAUUAGAUACCCUGGUAGUCCACGCCGUAAACGAUGUCGACUUGGAGGCUGUGGUCUUGAACCGUGGCUUCCGGAGCUAACGCGUUAAGUCGACCGCCUGGGGAGUACGGCCGCAAGGUUAAAACUCAAAUGAAUUGACGGGGGCCCGCACAAGCGGUGGAGCAUGUGGUUUAAUUCGAUGCAACGCGAAGAACCUUACCUACUCUUGACAUCCAGAGAAGACUGUAGAGAUACGGUUGUGCCUUCGGGAGCUCUGAGACAGGUGCUGCAUGGCUGUCGUCAGCUCGUGUUGUGAAAUGUUGGGUUAAGUCCCGCAACGAGCGCAACCCUUAUCCUUUGUUGCCAGCGAUACGGUCGGGAACUCAAAGGAGACUGCCGGUGAUAAACCGGAGGAAGGUGGGGAUGACGUCAAGUCAUCAUGGCCCUUACGAGUAGGGCUACACACGUGCUACAAUGGCGCAUACAAAGAGAAGCGAGCCUGCGAGGGUGAGCGGACCUCAUAAAGUGCGUCGUAGUCCGGAUUGGAGUCUGCAACUCGACUCCAUGAAGUCGGAAUCGCUAGUAAUCGUAGAUCAGAAUGCUACGGUGAAUACGUUCCCGGGCCUUGUACACACCGCCCGUCACACCAUGGGAGUGGGUUGCAAAAGAAGUAGGUAGC